Molecule: ribosomal RNA, 709 nt
Filed under: uncultured Eubacteriales bacterium
Lineage: Bacteria; Bacillati; Bacillota; Clostridia; Eubacteriales
Description: bacterial SSU rRNA
Rfam family: Bacterial small subunit ribosomal RNA
Source: RNAcentral
GGUGAAACUUAAAUGAUUUCUUCGGAAUGAACUUAAGUGGAUUAGUGGCGGACGGGUGAGUAACGCGUGAGUAACCUGUCUUACACAAGGGGAUAGCCGUUGGAAACGACGAAUAAUACCCUAUGAAACUAUCACUUCGCAUGAAGCGAUAGUCAAAGUGUUAGCGGUGUAAGAUGGACUUGCGUCUGAUUAGCUAGUUGGUGAGAAAAAAGCCCACCAAGGCAACGAUCAGUAGCCGGCUUGAGAGAGUGUACGGCCACAUUGGGACUGAGACACGGCCCAGACUCCUACGGGAGGCAGCAGUGGGGAAUUUUGCACAAUGGGGGAAACCCUGAUGCAGCGACGCCGCGUGAUUUAGAAGGCCUUCGGGUUGUAAAAAUCUUUUGUAUAGGAAGAAAAUGACAGUACUAUACGAAUAAGGUCCGGCUAAUUACGUGCCAGCAGCCGCGGUAAUACGUAAGGACCGAGCGUUGUCCGGAAUCAUUGGGCGUAAAGGGUACGUAGGCGGGUCAUUAAGUUAGAAGUCAAAGGCUAUAGCUCAACUAUAGUAAGCUUCUAAAACUGGCGACCUUGAGUAAUGGAAGGGAAAGUGGAAUUCCUAGUGUAGCGGUGGAAUGCGCAGAUAUUAGGAGGAAUACCGGUGGCGAAGGCGACUUUCUGGCCAUUAACUGACGCUGAGGUACGAAAGCGUGGGUAGCAAACAGGAUUA